Molecule: ribosomal RNA, 465 nt
Filed under: Vreelandella stevensii
Lineage: Bacteria; Pseudomonadati; Pseudomonadota; Gammaproteobacteria; Oceanospirillales; Halomonadaceae
Description: partial 16S ribosomal RNA
Rfam family: Bacterial small subunit ribosomal RNA
Source: RNAcentral
CCUACGGGAGGCUGCAGUGGGGAAUAUUGGACAAUGGGCGAAAGCCUGAUCCAGCCAUGCCGCGUGUGUGAAGAAGGCCUUCGGGUUGUAAAGCACUUUCAGUGGGGAAGAAAGCCUUGGGGCUAAUACCCUCGAGGAAGGACAGCACCCACAGAAGAAGCACCGGCUAACUCCGUGCCAGCAGCCGCGGUAAUACGGAGGGUGCGAGCGUUAAUCGGAAUUACUGGGCGUAAAGCGCGCGUAGGCGGUCUGAUAAGCCGGUUGUGAAAGCCCCGGGCUCAACCUGGGAACGGCAUCCGGAACUGUCAGGCUAGAGUGCAGGAGAGGAAGGUAGAAUUCCCGGUGUAGCGGUGAAAUGCGUAGAGAUCGGGAGGAAUACCAGUGGCGAAGGCGGCCUUCUGGACUGACACUGACGCUGAGGUGCGAAAGCGUGGGUAGCAAACAGGAUUAGAUACCCUAGUAGUC